RNAcentral lists this long non-coding RNA (652 nucleotides) under Anser cygnoides (Swan goose). Its description in RNAcentral is "lncRNA (ENSACDG00005013948.1)". Lineage: Eukaryota; Metazoa; Chordata; Aves; Anseriformes; Anatidae. The record is from RNAcentral.
UUCUGCAUUCCAGCUGUGUGGGACUUGAAGCUGAAAACUGGGUCCCCUGUUCACACUUCAUACUGCCAGUUUGAGGGGUGGAGGAAAAUAAUGACAGAAAUGGCCAGAGGAACAGGUGUCUUUUUUUAGGUGCAAGCUGCACCUAGCAGUGUAGCAAAUGCCUAAAAAUAAAUGCAUAAGUGAAAGCAGAUAGGAUUUUUUUUUUUUUUUCCUAAUCCUGGAUUAAACACAAAGGACUACUUCCCCAUCUGCCUGUUUUAAUUUCUUUCCAGGCUGUAGCGGUGCUCAGCCUCAGUUCCUUCCCCUGGCUGAGCCUUAGGGGCCGCUCCCACCGGCUCCACGUGGUGUCACUCUCGAACUGUCCUGCGCGGGCAGCAUAGCUUUCGCCCGGCCAUCCGCCGCCUCCGUCGCUUCCCUUGCAAACAAAGUUCUCCUGGUAACAGAGUGUCUUCAUUUGGGGCUACUCAAACAGUGUUGGACGAACUUUAUCCCCGGAGUAAUUUCACUGGAGUGCAUGUGGCUGCAUGGGGUCUGUCUAUAAAGGGAUUUGAACCAAUGCGUGCUGAACAUUUAUGCAGGUAAAGUUAACUGAAUUUAGUUUUUCUUUAAAUAUCAGAAUAAACCAUGUGGAGGAGAAUUUCUUUAUGUUAGC